Molecule: ribosomal RNA, 279 nt
Filed under: uncultured bacterium
Lineage: Bacteria
Description: partial 16S ribosomal RNA
Rfam family: Bacterial small subunit ribosomal RNA
Source: RNAcentral
UGCCAGCCGCCGCGGUAAGACGAACCGGACAAACGUUAUUCGGAAUUACUGGGCUUAAAGAGUGCGUAGGCGGCUUGGCAGGUUGGGUGUGAAAUCCCUCGGCUCAACCGAGGAACUGCGCUCAAAACCGCCAGGCUUGAGGGAGAUAGGGGUGAGCGGAACUGAUGGUGGAGCGGUGAAAUGCGUUGAUAUCAUCAGGAACACCGGUGGCGAAGGCGGCUCACUGGAUCUCUUCUGACGCUGAGGCACGAAAGCUAGGGGAGCGAACGGGAUUAGAUA